RNAcentral lists this transfer RNA (80 nucleotides) under Streptomyces violaceusniger. Its description in RNAcentral is "tRNA-Arg". Lineage: Bacteria; Bacillati; Actinomycetota; Actinomycetes; Kitasatosporales; Streptomycetaceae. The record is from RNAcentral.
UCGGCUUGUCGGCCAGGGCCCCGGCCGCGCCGCCUGCGAGGUGGUGCUCCGGUCCUGGGUUCCGGGGCGGGGAGCUGGCC